Molecule: unclassified non-coding RNA, 105 nt
Organism: Aotus nancymaae (Ma's night monkey)
Lineage: Eukaryota; Metazoa; Chordata; Mammalia; Primates; Aotidae
Rfam family: Y RNA
About the family: Y RNAs are components of the Ro ribonucleoprotein particle (Ro RNP), in association with Ro60 and La proteins. The Y RNAs and Ro60 and La proteins are well conserved, but the function of the Ro RNP is not known.
Source: Ensembl
GGUUGGUCCUAAGAUAGUGAGUUAUCAAUUGAUCAAAGUCAGUUACAGAUCGAACUCCUUGUUCUACUCUUCCCCCUUCUCACUACUGCACUUAACCAGUCCAAA